This 253-nucleotide ribosomal RNA is filed under the name uncultured bacterium. RNAcentral's name for it is "partial 16S ribosomal RNA". It matches the Rfam family "Bacterial small subunit ribosomal RNA", at positions 524 to 776 of the family's 1533-position model. The record is from RNAcentral.
UACGUAGGGUCCGAGCGUUGUCCGGAAUUACUGGGCGUAAAGAGCUCGUAGGUGGUUUGUCGCGUUGUUCGUGAAAACUCACAGCUUAACUGUGGGCGUGCGGGCGAUACGGGCAGACUUGAGUACUGCAGGGGAGACUGGAAUUCCUGGUGUAGCGGUGAAAUGCGCAGAUAUCAGGAGGAACACCGAUGGCGAAGGCAGGUCUCUGGGCUGUAACUGACGCUGAGGAGCGAAAGCAUGGGGAGCGAACAGG